This 495-nucleotide ribosomal RNA is filed under the name uncultured Burkholderiales bacterium. RNAcentral's name for it is "bacterial SSU rRNA". It matches the Rfam family "Bacterial small subunit ribosomal RNA", at positions 30 to 516 of the family's 1533-position model. The record is from RNAcentral. Lineage: Bacteria; Pseudomonadati; Pseudomonadota; Betaproteobacteria; Burkholderiales.
AUUGAACGCUGGCGGAAUGCUUUACACAUGCAAGUCGAACGGCAGCACGGGUGCUUGCACCUGGUGGCGAGUGGCGAACGGGUGAGUAAUACAUCGGAACGUGCCCAGUUGUGGGGGAUAGCCCGGCGAAAGCCGGAUUAAUACCGCAUACGAUCUCUGGAUGAAAGCGGGGGACCUUCGGGCCUCGCGCAGCUGGAGCGGCCGAUGGCAGAUUAGGUAGUUGGUGGGGUAAAGGCCUACCAAGCCUGCGAUCUGUAGCUGGUCUGAGAGGAUGAUCAGCCACACCGGGACUGAGACACGGCCCGGACUCCUACGGGAGGCAGCAGUGGGGAAUAUUGGACAAUGGGGGCAACCCUGAUCCAGCAAUACCGCGUGUGUGAAGAAGGCCCUAGGGUUGUAAAGCACUUUUGUUAGGGAGAAUGGGAUUUAUUGUUAAUACCAAUAGAUUCUGAUGUUACCUAAGAAUAAGCACCGGCUAACUCCGUGCCAGCAGCC